RNAcentral lists this ribosomal RNA (589 nucleotides) under uncultured bacterium. RNAcentral's name for it is "partial 16S ribosomal RNA". It matches the Rfam family "Bacterial small subunit ribosomal RNA", at positions 355 to 1376 of the family's 1533-position model. The record is from RNAcentral.
UGGGGAAUAUUGGACAAUGGGCGAAAGCCUGAUCCAGCCAUGCCGCGUGUGUGAAGAAGGUCUUCGGAUUGUAAAAGCACUUUAAAGUUGGGAGGAAGGGCAGUUACCUAAUACGUGAUUGUCUUGACGUUACCGACAGAAUAAGCACCGGCUAGCUCUGUGCCAGCAGCCGCGGUAAUACAGAGGGUGCAAGCGUUAAUCGGAAUUACUGGGCGUAAAGCGCGCGUAGGUGGUUUGUUAAGUUAGAUGUGAAAUCCCCGGGCUCAACCUGGGAACUGCAUUCAAAACUGGCAGGCCAGAGUAUGGUAGAGGGUGGUGGAAUUUCCUGUGUAGCGGUGAAAUGCGUAGAUAUAGGAAGGAACACCAGUGGCGUAGGCGACCACCUGGACUAAUACUGACACUGAGGUGCGAAAGCGUAGGGAGCAAACAGGAUUAGAUACCCUGGUAGUCCACGCCGUAAACGAUGUCAACUAGCCGUUGGGAGCCUUGAGCUCUUAGUGGCGCAGCUAACGCAUUAAGUUGACCGCCUGGGGAGUACGGCCGCAAGGUUAAAACUCAAAGGAAUUGACGGGGUCAUAGCUGUUUCCUG